This 253-nucleotide ribosomal RNA is filed under the name uncultured bacterium. RNAcentral's name for it is "partial 16S ribosomal RNA". It matches the Rfam family "Bacterial small subunit ribosomal RNA", at positions 524 to 776 of the family's 1533-position model. The record is from RNAcentral.
UACGGAGGGUGCGAGCGUUGUCCGGAAUCACUGGGCGUAAAGGGCGCGUGGGCGGCGCGAGCAGUCGGCGGUGAAAGCCCGGAGCUCAACUCCGGGUCGGCCGUCGAUACUCUCGUGCUUGAGCACUGUAGAGGCAGGUGGAAUUCCGGGUGUAGCGGUGGAAUGCGUAGAGAUCCGGAAGAACACCGGUGGCGAAGGCGGCCUGCUGGGCAGUAGCUGACGCUGAUGCGCGACAGCGUGGGGAGCAAACAGG